CCUACGGGUGGCUGCAGUGGGGGAUAUUGCACAAUGGGGGAAACCCUGAUGCAGCGAUGCCGCGUGGGCGAAGAAGUACUUCGGUAUGUAAAGUCCUAUCAGCAGGGAAGAAGGAAUGACGGUACAUGCCUUAGAAGCACCGGCUAAAUAGGUGCCAGCAGCCGCGGUAAUACGGAGGGUGCAAGCGCUGUCCGGAUUUACUGGGUGUAAAGGGAGCGCAGGCGGCACGGUAAGCCUGAUGUGAAAGCCCGGGGCUCAACCGGGGAACUGCAUUGGGAACUACCGAGCUUGAGUCCCGGAGAGGUAGGCAGAAUUCCUAGUGUAGCGGUGAAAUGCGUAGAGAUUAGGAGGAACACCAGUGGCGAAGGCGGCCUACUGGACGGUGACUGACGCUGAGGCUCGAAAGCGUGGGGAGCAAACAGGAUUAGAUACCCCUGUAGUC
Molecule: ribosomal RNA, 442 nt
Filed under: uncultured bacterium
Lineage: Bacteria
Description: partial 16S ribosomal RNA
Rfam family: Bacterial small subunit ribosomal RNA
Source: RNAcentral